This 617-nucleotide ribosomal RNA is filed under the name uncultured Chloroflexota bacterium. RNAcentral describes it as "bacterial SSU rRNA". It matches the Rfam family "Bacterial small subunit ribosomal RNA", at positions 705 to 1333 of the family's 1533-position model. The record is from RNAcentral. Lineage: Bacteria; Bacillati; Chloroflexota.
AACACCAGUGGCGAAGGCAUCCCAGGUUGUUUCUGACGCUGAGGCUCGAAAGCGUGGGGAGCGAAGCGGAUUAGAUACCCGCGUAGUCCACGCCCUAAACAGUGGACACUAGAUAUAGGAGGUAUCGACCCUUUCUGUGUCGAAGCUAACGCUUUAAGUGUCCCGCCUGGGGAGUACGGCCGCAAGGCUGAAACUCAAAGGAAUUGACGGGGGUCCGCACAAGCAGCGGAGCGUGUGGUUUAAUUCGAUGCUACACGAAGAACCUUACCAGGACUUGACAUGGCAGAAGUAGGAAGCCGAAAGGCGGACGACCUGUAUCCAGUCAGGAGCUGUCACAGGUGCUGCAUGGCUGUCGUCAGCUCGUGCCGUGAGGUGUUGGGUUAAGUCCCGCAACGAGCGCAACCCUUGUCCUAUGUUAAAUUCUCAUAGGAGACUGCCUUGUACAGCAAGGAGGAAGGAAAGGAUGACGUCAAGUCAGCACGGCCUUUAUGUCCUGGGCUACACACACGCUACAAUGGACGAUACAGAGGGUUGCCAAGGAGCGAUCCGGAGCUAAUCCCCGAAAAUCGUCCUCAGUUCGGAUUGCAGGCUGAAAUCGCCUGCAUGAAGUCGGAGUU